AUGAUUUACGUUAAAGCAAGAUCAAGCACCCUUAGUUUGCCAAACUCGAAUCCAAAUCUCCAUGGGUUUCUGCUCCAAACCCUAUCAGCACCUAAAUCAUCAAUGGUUUGCUGCUUCUAUAGAAGAAAUGGCUUCCGGGGGGUGAAAGGAAGGAGAAAGAACAAAGGGAUAGAGAGAUGGUGGAAAAGAAAGGAAAGAGAUAGAGCUGGUUGGUUAUACGCAUCAUCAUCAGUCAUGGUUUCAUUAGAUAGCGCUCCCUGCCCAAGGUUGGUGGCGGCAGAUCAAAAAGGGAAAGAGGACUGA
This 303-nucleotide ribosomal RNA is filed under the name Triticum aestivum (bread wheat). RNAcentral's name for it is "partial small subunit ribosomal RNA". The record is from RNAcentral. Lineage: Eukaryota; Viridiplantae; Streptophyta; Magnoliopsida; Poales; Poaceae.